UCACAUCACAUCACAGCACAUAUCUGUUGAUUGUGUUUGUUGAAUGCUUUGAAAAGAAAUACAAGUUUGGAUGCUUUCUCUAUGCCUAACUUAUUACGUUCUUGUGAAUGCACAAAUUUAUAUUAUGAGAAGACUCUCUCUUCACUUGCUGAAUUAGCUGUGCUAAAAGGACUUAACAACUAAAUGGAAAACUAUCAGAGAUGGAUACAGAAAAGCACUUGACAGAGCAAAAAAUGCGAGGAAAUCAGGAGCCCCCGCUUCAAAAAUCAAGAAGUAUGUUUACCACGACCAAAUGGAUUUCUUAAGGAAAGUUUUUGAACGGAGGGUGACUGAAGAUUCUCUUGCCAGUGACAACAGUGACCCAGAAAGUUGCCUCGGAAGUGUAGAAGGUGAAGCUGAGGAUCAACAACAGUUUACCGUAGGUGCGGGACCCUCGAAUCCGGAAAGUCGUACCACCCAACAAAGGGAGGUUCUUUCAACAAACAAGAUGGGACGAAAAGAAACCCCCAGAAGCCACCCUGACGAAUUUGAGCAGAAAAUACUGCAUUUAUUGGAAACCCAAACAGACACAUUUGUUUCAUGCAAGUACUAGUGCCAACACUGGAAACCUUCACUGAUGAUGAGGUCCUCGAAUUCCAAGCUGGUGCACUGAAUUUGAUUCAGAAAAUAAAAUCUGCAAGGAAUAAUCCACCUCACUCCGCUGUUACAUUUGUUAUCGAUCCAAACCAGACAAAUCAGCCUUUUGCAUGGGGACAACCAAGCACUCCUCAGCAAUCCAAUCAUAGUUGCUAUAACUACUCGCAUAUAAUGCCCACCUCAUGUAUGCCCUCUCCCAGCCCAAGCAAUACCAUAACCACGUCUCCAACACAGACUCCAUUUCCACAGGAUAUGGGACGAUAGUGUAAUUGUCUUGUUUCAAUGAGUAUGUGUUUGCCUACCUAAUUAUUCUAUCAUUGUCUAUUUUCUUUUUUCAAUACCUACAAUUUUUCUAUUUUUUUAAAAUUAUUUUUAGAAAUAACUUUUGUAUUACCUCUAUACAAACGUUGAGGUUUCAGUGCACAUUACUUAAGCUUAAUAUACAUUGCUAAAUUUAUUCGCAAUAAAUAAUGCUGCAAAUUAAAGAACAUAUGAGUUUAUUAUAAUUAUUCCCUCUCAAGAUUUUUUAGUUCAAUUAAAUUGAAUUUUAGUUUGUGUAGGAGUUAGUGGCCAUGGUUUACAUAAAUUUUCUGUUAAAUAAAAUUAUUUUUUUCUUUUUUGUUUAGACAGUGCGAUUUACUUACCUUAAUGUUGUAGCCAGACUCAGUUCAGGCUGAAUGCAGUACUUCAUGUUAGUAUUUUCGAGCUGUAUACUAUUCUUGGUAUUCCCAAGGAGCCCAUCAAAUGAGACCAAUGACAUUCGAAAGUAGUUGUAAAACUUGUUGCCAUCUCGUCGAAGUUCUUGAUAAAGCGUGGAAAAAACACCUGUUUCAUCGCGCCUUUGAUUAAUAGGAUGUACCCAAUACGUUUUGGUACAUCGGCGUUUUUGUCGUCGAAGACGUCGCCUACGGUAAAGAAGAUACAUGGCCAUGGCACGUGUACGAUCCAUUCCAAUGCUUACUUGCGACUACGCAAUGGCUAGCGCCUUAGCCAAAAAGGCUCCCCGUGUGAAAGCGUGGAAGGUACGAGCGGAAAAAGCUCCCGCUCGCGAGUGCGAGCCGCACGGCUCUCCGUGUGAAAGAGCCCUUAUGGGUUAUUCAGGGACUGUUAUUACCUGAUAGGCAGAAGAACACAGCUUAAGAUAGGCAGGAGAACACAGCUCAAACACAGGUUUUUACUUUUUGUCUUGUUUCUUUUUCAGAAAAUAGUUUCCAUACUUUUCACACUGUGGCAUUGAAAAGUUUACAUUUAGAGGUGUCAAUUAAAAAUAUACAGUAGAACCUUGUUAACUCGGACCUCUUUAACCCGGACGUCCGGAUAACCUGAACCAGUUUUGGGGGAAAAAAAUUAUGUUGUUAGUAAAUGAAUUUUUUUACAAACAAUAAAUCACUAUUUUCAGUGUAGUACAUUACUUGAAUUCACUUUCCAGCAGGCGAGUUCAUUGCACUCAUCCUACCUGCUGUUGUUAUGCAGCAAACUGGUGAUUCAACCCUCUCCUGCCCUGCACUUGACAUUGACCUAGAGACACUGCACUGCAAUCUCUGUUGUCCUAUUGUCACUGUUGAGGUACAGUAUCAUUGUGCUGUUUUUUUAGCAAGUUAUUCAUGAUGGUGACGUAAGUAAAAACAUUGUUGUGAGUAUGGAAAAAAGGUUGGAAGCAUUUACAAGAAUUGAUAAGGGAGAACUGUUAAAGAACAUCAUUGCUGAGUUUGGAGUAGGAACAUUGAUAAAUUGAUGGUUUUUUCUGAGAGUCAAGCCAAAACAUCGCCAAACGAGCUUCUAAUGCUGAAGCGGAUACAAGAUGGCGCUGCUCGUAAGUAAUUCACAAAACUGAGGCAGCAAAAACUCACUACCGUUUUUACUAACUACCGUUUUUACUACAGACUGGUUUGUACCUAUAUUAUGUACAGUGUAAAUACAUAUUAUGUGUUUUUAGGUGAAAGUGUGCCAAUAAUUUUUAAAACUCCAUUAAAAAUAUUUUUGAUAAGUUGCAUAGUACAUGUUUUUUUUUUUUUUUUAUCAUUUGCCCCUCAUCUCUGAAUAGCUUGGAUUUUCGUUAACUCAGAUCGGCCAUGACCCCAGUUGAUCCAGGUUAACGAGGUUCUACUGUACAGCCUAACUAACACCAUUAUCAUUUUUUUCAAAGCAAUUGUUGCUUAGGUGAUUGCCAUUACCCUGUUUUCACCUAUGGAAAAUUUUAUUUAGUAUUUCACAAUUUUACUUUAAGGGGUGGAAAAAAAGGAAUAGGGAGUUUUUUUUUCAUUUAAAAGCCCAGAAGCAUUCAGUAAUUUUAUUCUUUAUUUUUAAUGCCAAGUGUGCCAAAUUUAUUCAGAAAGUACCAAAAUUGUGCUUUAGAUGGUGGAAUUGGGGGCUGGAGUGGUUUUUCAAAAUCUCAUGUAGACAGUGACCUUACACUUUUUUCUAAAUCAUAUGUGGACAUUAAUUUUCUGCUUAUAUUGAAUGUCAUUGUGUGCAAAUUUUAAUCAAGACAUAUAAAAAUUCGGCCUUAAUGGGUUAGAAAGGGGGAUGGGAGUGGUUUUUCGACAUUUCAUCUAGACAGUGAACUUUCCACUUUUUUAUCAAUCAGUUGAGGACAGUAAUUUUCCCAUUGGUUUAAAUGCAAAGUUUGCAAAAAUUUAUUAAGAAGUACCACAAUUCUGCUUUAAGGAUUGGAAAAGGGGAAUUUCAUGUAGAGAUUGUGACUUGCCUCUUUUUUUAUAAAUCAGUUGUAGACAAUAAUUUUCACCUUAUUUUUAACUCAGAAGUGAGCAAAAUUUCAUCAAGUAAUGUCAAAGUUUUUUUUAGGGGGUGUUUCAAUAUUCAAGUUUGCAAAUAUCAUCAAACUUGGAGUAAAACAGUAGAUUUGUUUAAAACACAAUAAAUCAAAUAAACCUACAAACAUAAACAAAUCACACACCGAGAAUAAUAGGGCCACAUCUCAAAAAAACUAAAUUUUACAGGAGAGUGAAUAAUUGAAAGUUUAUUCUUAGCCUCAGCAAUCAGGAAGUGCAUAAUGUAGGCACUGUUUCUAUGGCACAAGUCAAAAUUUGGCCAUGGUGUAUUCCAACCCACCCUCAGCUGUACGAAUAAUAAGGCCGCAUGUCAACAUGUGGGGCUGUAUGAUUCUGAUUUCUGUUUUACAAAUUUAAAAUGUAAUAAGGACAUAUCUCAUCUCAGGUGAAUAUUUAUUGUACUACAUAUAUGACCUUGUUAUACCGAAUAGAUAUAGCCAUAGACAUUACAAAUAUACAAAAAUGUAAAAAAAAAUUUUUUUUUUGAGAUGUGGCCCUAUUAUUCUCGGUGUGCGAAAUGUAUCUCUCAAGAAUUCACUUUUACUGUUUGUAAUAUUUAUUUUAUUAUAUGCCUAUCUAGCAUAAUAUAACUUAACCAAUGGAGUGAACUUUGUAUUUAAUGUUGUUAUAACAAUUAGUCAAUGAAAUAUCAAGUAAUAAUAUAAUUUUCUUAAAUUGUAGUAUAUAACAAUAAUUUAUACAAAAAAAAGUUUAAAAAAAAAAUGUGUACCUAUGAUGGGAUUUGAAUCGGAAGACUUGGGGUACUUUAUCUCGCACUUACCUAUUGAGCUAUCAGUCACUGUGAGAUGUUACAAAGAAUAUUAAAGUCUUAAUAGUGUAAUCCCAGGAAAACAACAUAUUUUUUAAGUUGUGAUUAUUUCUUUUUGUGACUAUUUGCACUUAUAAUAAAUGUAAUCCAAGAUAGUCCUUGGUGUGCACUCAGAUCUUUACAUUUUCUUUGCACACUGAGAUUUCACUCUCAACAUUCCUAAAGAAGUAUCACUUUAUAUACAUUAAUUUAAUUGUAACAUUUGAUUGUUAGAAUAAACAUUGUUAACAUAAAAACCUAAAUUGGUAUGCCUAUAUCCCUUCACUUUUUAUACUCCCAUUACAGCAAACAAACAAAACUAUUAAUUUCUAUAAGUGCAUUAAAUUGCUAUGUUGAAAUUGAAAAAUGACCCUGUAGCAUUGCAGGACCCUGCCCUCUCCAGCUUUCAUGGAUAUUUUUUGAGAGGAAAAUUUUUUUAAAAUAAGGCAGAAUGUCAGCUGAUUAUAAAGUUCAAGGUGUUAGUGACCUAGUUUUGUAUUUGUAUUUUAUCAUUUGGAGUAUAUUUGUAAUAGUUAUAUUUUAUUAUUUUAUUUAUAAAGCCUGUUGACUGUAGUUUUACUGGUUUUCACUUUUUUGACUAGGUUACUAUUUAUGUGAGAUUUCCGAUAUUUUAUUUCAUUUAAAUAUUCUUUCUAUAACUAUACUUUUAUGUGUGUGUGUAUUGUAUAGUGUAUGACGUGGGACAGUGGUUUCUGUGAAAGAAAGAAAGAAAGAAAGGUAGAGGCGAGAUAGAGACGUUUGCCAGAACCGUGGGAGACCUCUCUAACCAGGAAAUCACAGAAUAGCAAUGGUAAAAAUAAUCUUUGUAGCCAAUAGGAAGGUGGCUUUUUUGGGGAAGUCCCCAGUUUUUAAUGUUUCGUGUGUUUUUUGUUCUGUACUUUGUCUAGUUAGUCAGUGUUAAAAGCGCUGGGCUGAGAGGAUGCACUGUUUCGUAGGCUCAGCAACAUGUAAAAUCUACAGCUAAAAAAAAAAAUAAACAGCAACAAACAUUUUAAACAUGUUUAUUUCAUUUCAAUAUGUAACAGAUUUUGAAUAAGUUAGUAAUUAUCAACAUAAUAUUUACACCCCACUACCUGCAACUUGAGCUGGAAUAAUUUUCAAGUGUUUAUGUAUGUGCAAGGAACAGUAGUCAUCUUAGUCGGGCAGGAAUGUGACUUGUCACAACCCCUUUUUGACAUAAAAAUUUAUUUAUCACCUUUUUUUACAAAAUUCCUUCAGUCACCUUCAAAAUACUCUCCAUUAGAUGUGAUGCACUUGUGGAGUCUUUUUUCCCACCAUUUGAAGAACCUCUGGAACUCUUUAACUUUGAUAUCCUACAGCGCACUUUACGAAGCUGUUUUUACCGCCUUCACAUCAUCAAAACACUUCCCUUUUAGAUAUUUCUUCAUUCUCGGGAACAGGAAAAAGUCGCACGGGGCUAGGUCUGGCGAAUAUGGAGGGCCAAAUAGUGGUUCACUUGUAAGGCAGUGUGUGCAGGGGUGUUGUCAUGAUGAAGGAACCAGUCACCUGAUCGCCAAAGUUUUGGGCAUUUCCAUCGCACUUCCUUACGCAAACGUCUUAAAACUUCCAAAUAAAAGUGCUGGUUAACAUUCUGGCCAGGGUGAACAAAUUUCUGGCGCACAAUCCUGCAAAGAUCAAAAAAGACAAUGAUCAUCGUCUUAACAUUCAACCUCACUUGUCUUGCAUUUUUUGGUUUGGGGGAGUUAGUUGGGAGUCUUCCACUUGGCUAAUGCUUGCUUGGUUUCUGGGUCAUACCUGUAACACCAACUCUCAUCACCUGUAAUGACUUUGGUCAAAAAGUUUGGAUCACUUUCAAUCUCUUUUUUCAAGUCCUGGCUCAAAUUCAAUACAAUUUGUUUUGAUCCUGUUUGAGGAAAGAAACAAAUUUAGAGGCAACACGUCUCAUUUGCAAAUCCUCAGUCAAAAUCCGCUGGCACGAGCUCCAACUGACUUCUGUCUCUUCUGAAAUUUUGUCGAUAGGGAAAUGACUAUCCUCAAUGAUUUUUCGCGGAUAUUUUAACGUUUCCAUCGUUUUGAGAUGUUGAAGGGUGCCCAGAAUGAGCAUGGUCUUCAACACUGAUCUCACCACGUUAAAAGUGCCAAAACCACUCAAAAACUUGUGUGUGGCUCAUAGAAUCCUCCUUGAAAGCCUCUUGAAGUAUUAGGUAAGCAGGAAGCAAAAUUUCAAACACACUCAUUGUUCUUUUAAAUCUGCCAUAACGACUUCGCAGGCGGAACACGAGAAGAGUAAGAGAUAAGCAUUACUACAAACAAAUGUUAACCUACAAACUGACACCAUCUGGGCAGCUGUUUAGUGAAGGUAUCUACUAACCCCAUCUAAUGUGAGAACUCUCUGCUACAUCUAGGAGUGGCAGUGCGCUCAUUCCGGUUUUUUUUUUUGGGUCCCCCCCUCCCCCCCCCCCUGUAAUGAUUUGAAUUUUUUGUGGUUCAAAAUUAUUUCUUAGUCCCAUCACAUUAGAAUUAAACAUGUUUUACUGUUGUAGAAAACUUUAAUUAUUUAUAGCUAAGCAAGCAUAGUAGUAAAAGAGCAUUUUACAAUAAAAAUUUUCUUCAAAUCACAUUUAAUUAUUUUUGAAUUUAUUAAGGAUGUUGAAAUCAAAGAACUCACAGACACUUAAUUCCUUGGGCUGCAUGUAGGUAAUCACAUAAACUGGAAAAACCAUGUAAUCUAUAUUUUACAAACAUUUGUGCUUCUUGUUUUGCCUGUUAUAAUGUUGUAUCAGUAUUAAGUAAACAUACAAAAGUAAUGAUUUAUUUUACAUAUUUCUAUUCCAUCAAGAACUAUGGAAUAAUGUUUGGGAGAAAAUCGAUUGAAAGCCGAAAAGUUUUGUAUAGGUACUAAAAAGAGCAGUAGAAUAUUAUCUGGCGAGAUGCUUCCCAUCUACAAGUCACGAAAUUCAUGAAAGUCUGUUAACCAGCUACACCAGUGUCUGCAGGCCACGAAAGUCAGAAAUAGUAAUGAAAAUGAAGGACUAGUCACAAACGACAAAACAAAAAAAAAAAAACAGUAUCUGUGCUAUAAAUCACAAAACUUUAGUUUCACAGCAUUUUGAUUUAUGCUGUCUUACAGUUUAUAAUUUCAUCUUAAAAAUAAAUAGUUGGAGACUGUCCACUUAAAUCAAGAGGAAAUUAUCUCUAAUAAGGUUUUAGCUUUCUCCAUGUCCCUAUGAAUAGUUGAUAAUUUCGAAUUACGUUUAGUUUUGAUUAUUAAAUAUAAAAAAUAAUUGUUAUGUAAAAAAGUAGCAUGAAAAUUGUAUUAUAAAGGUCCUGAAAAUUCCUGAAAUUUGUUUACCAGACAUUUGUAGACUUUCUGUACACUGACUGCAGAGCCAGUGGUGAUUUUAUAAAAUGGAAGAUUAGGAGAAAUGGGUGUUUGUUUGCUUAUUUCAUUUACUGUCAUUGUAUUAUUUUAUUUUUUUGUGUAAAAUGACUUAUCAAAUAGCUUUGUGCAAACUUUUACACUCAGUAAAUUCAAGUGAAACUUUGAAUGAUGUAUAUUAGAGGUUCCCAAAGUGUGUGGACACGUUGAGGCGCUCCUGUUUUCUCUUCUUCGAAAACUUAACUUACUUAUAUUCGCAAUAAACAAUUCAAAUUGUGCACGCUGCAUGCACCACUUGCUGCAUUCGCUGGUACUCACGCUCAGGGUUAUAUUUGGAAAUGAGAUCACCAAGCUCACAUGUCACAUUGAUUAACUUGACACUGAAUUUUUUAAGUAUUUUUCUGUUAUAAUAAUAUGGUCUUGUGUGUCAGUUCUAAUAUAUAUAACUAUGCGAGCCUCAGAUUGUGGUAUGUGAGCCUCAGAUUGUGGAUAAUUUCAUUUCUGUGCCUAGUGUCAUUAAAAAAAUACCUUUAUCUUUUUAUUUUGUCAUUGUACACAUAUUUCAACUUGGUAGGGCUCUGCGACAAAUGACUAAACCUGUAAGUGCGCCGCAAAAUGAAAAAUGUUUGGGGACCCCUGAUGCAUAUCACUAAAACAAAGUAGGUAACUGCUAUUUUGAUAUCAAGAGGAUUGAUUUAAGAUUCUUUCAAAUAUAUUUCAUUUAGACAUCUUCUAUUCUGUCUUUAAUUAAAUUUUGCAACCAUGGUUUAGAAUGGCUUAAGUAAAUUUCAGCAAUCAAGCAUCCUUAGUUGUUUUCUUGAUUUUGUAAAGUAAUAUUUUUAUGAAAGAAAAUGAGUUGGCAACUACUACAUAGGUAGCAUUAAAAAAUUAAUACUCAUAAUGGUGUGAACAUUGUAGGCAUAGAGCAAUUUUCUCUUCGUGAAAUAAAAAUUAAACCAUAAAGAAAAAA
This is a long non-coding RNA of Bacillus rossius redtenbacheri, 8567 nucleotides long. RefSeq lists it as uncharacterized. Lineage: Eukaryota; Metazoa; Arthropoda; Insecta; Phasmatodea; Bacillidae. The record is from RefSeq and is a predicted model, not a curated record. The transcript is spliced from 2 exons.